GGGGUUAUGGCUCAGUGAUAGAGCGCUUGCCUAGCAUGCAUGAGGCACUGGGUUCAAAUCUCAGUACUACA
RNAcentral lists this transfer RNA (71 nucleotides) under Marmota monax (woodchuck). RNAcentral's name for it is "tRNA.Ala". The stretch from base 6 to 66 matches the Rfam family "tRNA", at positions 6 to 65 of the family's 71-position model. Rfam says of the family: Transfer RNA (tRNA) molecules are approximately 80 nucleotides in length. The record is from RNAcentral. Lineage: Eukaryota; Metazoa; Chordata; Mammalia; Rodentia; Sciuridae.